This 102-nucleotide small nuclear RNA is filed under the name Castor canadensis (American beaver). Lineage: Eukaryota; Metazoa; Chordata; Mammalia; Rodentia; Castoridae. The record is from RNAcentral.
GUGCUCUCUGGAAACACAUGUACUAACACUGGACCAAUACAGCGAUUAGCACGGCCACUGUGCAAGGAUGGCAAAGAAAUCCCUGAAGUGUUCCAUAUUUGA